UCCUCGCCUCCCUGAUUGAUUUGGGCCCAUUGAUCUGGGUUGUUUUUUCAUUGACUAGGUAUGAAUAUGAUUGACAUACUUUUCAAGUUUGGUCACUGGCUCCCUGCACGCGCCCAUGAGCUCAAGCCCCGCCCCUUACCUCCCUCUAACUUGGCCGCCUCCAUGCCGUGGUAAAAUCCCUUCCUAUUUUUGAUAUACUGAAGUUUGUUUGUGUCGGCAGAAUUUGUGUGUUUUGAGUUUGGCAUCUAAAUGGGGGUGGUAAGUUGUGAUGGGGAAAUUACUUGUCAGGGAAUCACUUGGCCUUGUUGUAGUGAGAGCAGAACGAAAUGACCAUGUUAUAUGAAAUUAUACUGCUUAUGCUAAGGUUAUAGUAUUAGACCAAGUCGAUUCUUUUUAAAAUUAGUGACAAAUCAGUAGCUCAUUUUGUUGUGGAAGCACAGUUUAACAUUCAGUUAGUUUUUUUUUGUUGUUUAGAAUUUUUGACAUCAUGUCUGAAGACUAAAUUGAUAUUGGUUCAUAUAAAUGACCGUGUUGCUGCUAAUCUCAGGCCAUCCAGGCAAGACAUAGCUUCUAGUUUUUCGGCAUUAGUGCACGCUUGAAGCACUCUCCCUGUAGAAAGCAGAACCUUUCCAGUUAUCUUGUAAAACCAUCCCCACACUCGCAACUCCUGUUGCCCUGAUGAUAGAGCCAUGAGCCAUCCACAUUGAUUUUGACCCAGUUCAUUCCGGCGGCUUCCAGCCAGAUCAAUUAUGUACUCAUCCACUCACCUCUUUCUUUCAUGAGUAAUUAACUGGUAUAUUGUUGCAUGUAUUAUUGCAGUGGGCAAGUGCAGAAAAGUUAUGGUCUAUUUGGCGUGACGAGGUUGAGGGAAAUGUGUUGCAAACUAUGAUGUUCUCUUAACAUCCAAUUGAUUUGGUCAUAGAACUCGGCCGCCACUCCACAAUUGCAUAUGGUGGUUGCGAACAAACUUAUUUGUACAAUAAAGAAGCUAAUAUGUUUAAUCUUGUUAGAUACACUUGCGGAAUGCAGAAGCAGCUUCAUCAUUGUCUUUCUAUAUUUGGUAUUUUCUGACAUGAACUAUUGCAUCUACUGAGGUAAUUUCGUUGGGAAGCUUGCCAGACUAUCACAAAGUUCCUUUGUAGCUCAGGCUACACAGACUAUACGCUAGGCUCUCUACCGUAUGCAACAGUAUUUUUAUCAGUCUACAAACUAGUACUUAGAAUUCUUCUAUUUGGAAAUAACAAACAAAGGCAAACUUUAUUUCUUUUCUGAAAUUGUGUUCUGCAUGUUCAUCAUAUAUCACAGGUUCAUUUAUGGAGUUCUUGAAAGAAAAAAGGUACUGAUUGUGUGUGCAACUCUGCAUUACAUGAUUUAAAAUGUUGUUGCUUAUAUCAAUAAGAUUUUGGUCAAGAAAUAAAAAAGAACAGACAUAAUUGUCAAUACGCCGGGCUUUGUUUUGGAAUUAAAUGCUUUAGAUCUUGGAUGCCGCUUUUAUAUCCUUUGUUGUGUUCAAUCAGGUUUUAUUAGAUGAUCAAUUAAUCUUUGGUUGCGUCUCAGAAAAAAUGAUCUUUAGUUUGACAUAGUGUCAUCGGGUUGCAACUGAACAUGACACGAAACUGUUGUUCAAGGUGUUAAUGAUCUUCUGUCAGAUUUGUAUAUUAACAGAUUUGCUUGUUAAAAUCUUGUCAAGUUUCUUUGUGACAGUUACAGUUAAGCACAUUUCCAAAUAUAUUCUCUUGAUACGAAAGGCAUACAGGAAAGAGAUCAAAUUUUCAUUAUCAUUCUCGUGUAGCUUUGUGCAUACUUUUUGUUUAGCCGUUGGUGAAAUCUGCAAGCUUUCAUUGUAGGUGGUAAUUGAAUCAAGCAAUUCAGUAUGAACUAAUAGAGGGCAGGGGGUUCUACAGAUGGAGCAGCAUCAAGGACUGUGCCGUGAGGAAGCACGUGGAGUGGAGUCAUGGCAGCGCCGUGAUUCUCAUUUAACCAAUGAGAACAAACACAACCACAACCACGUCCAGCCCCCGACCUAUUGAUGCUCACCGUGAAUUCAGUAAAGCUUAACUGAAGCUACCAAUGCCAGAAGAAUAUAGAUGAACUCUAAAUUAUUAUGCCAUGGAUGGAACAUGUCAUUCAGCUGGUUUUGGUUAUUCAGUCUCACAAAAGAUUUGGAUGUAAGUGAAAUUUGUACCAGGAAGACAAAGAUAACAUUACCUGUCGUUUUCAUGAUGUAUAGUGAAUACUUGAUCUGGGCUGCAACACAUUUACCUUAUGAAUUAUUCUGUCGAUAAAAUCGUGCUUCUCAAAUUUCCUUGUAUAAGUGGAAGUUUUUCCUUCUAAUUUGUGUAUGUUUUCAGAAGAUUGCGAUAGGAUUGUCAAUAAGUGUUAUGUUAAGUGAAUCUGAGAAAAAUCAUGAUGAUUCCUAGUUUUGG
RNAcentral lists this long non-coding RNA (2426 nucleotides) under Triticum aestivum (bread wheat). RNAcentral describes it as "long non-coding RNA (TAES_LNC022382)". Lineage: Eukaryota; Viridiplantae; Streptophyta; Magnoliopsida; Poales; Poaceae. The record is from RNAcentral.